UCCCCUAGUAACUGCGAGUGAAGCGGGAAAAGCUCAAAUUUAAAAUCUGGCGGUUUUGGCCGUCCGAGUUGUAGUCUGGAGAAGUGCUUUCCGCGCCGGACCGUGUACAAGUCUCCUGGAACGGAGCGUCAUAGAGGGUGAGAAUCCCGUCUUUGACACGGACUACCGGUGCUUUGUGAUGCGCUCUCAAAGAGUCGAGUUGUUUGGGAAUGCAGCUCAAAAUGGGUGGUGAAUUCCAUCUAAAGCUAAAUAUUGGCGAGAGACCGAUAGCGAACAAGUACCGUGAGGGAAAGAUGAAAAGCACUUUGGAAAGAGAGUUAAACAGUACGUGAAAUUGCUGAAAGGGAAACGCUUGAAGUCAGUCGCGUCGUCCGGAACUCAGCCUUGCCUUGGCUUGGUGCACUUUCCGGUUGACGGGCCAGCAUCGAUUUUGACCGG
This 438-nucleotide ribosomal RNA is filed under the name Tyromyces stramenticus. Its description in RNAcentral is "partial large subunit ribosomal RNA". It matches the Rfam family "Eukaryotic large subunit ribosomal RNA", at positions 76 to 515 of the family's 3401-position model. The record is from RNAcentral. Lineage: Eukaryota; Fungi; Basidiomycota; Agaricomycetes; Polyporales; Incrustoporiaceae.